GUGGGGAAUCUUGCGCAAUGGGCGAAAGCCUGACGCAGCCAUGCCGCGUGAAUGAUGAAGGUCUUAGGAUUGUAAAAUUCUUUCACCGGGGACGAUAAUGACGGUACCCGGAGAAGAAGCUCCGGCUAACUUCGUGCCAGCAGCCGCGGUAAUACGAAGGGGGCUAGCGUUGCUCGGAAUUACUGGGCGUAAAGGGCGCGUAGGCGGACAGCUUAGUCAGAGGUGAAAGCCCAGGGCUCAACCUUGGAAUUGCCUUUGAUACUGGCUGUCUUGAGUUUGGGAUAGGUGAGUGGAACUCCGAGUGUAGAGGUGAAAUUCGUAGAUAUUCGGAAGAACACCAGUGGCGAAGGCGACUCACUGGCCCAAUACUGACGCUGAGGCGCGAAAGCGUGGGGAGCAAACAGGAUUAGAAACCCCAGUAGUCC
Molecule: ribosomal RNA, 425 nt
Filed under: uncultured bacterium
Lineage: Bacteria
Description: partial 16S ribosomal RNA
Rfam family: Bacterial small subunit ribosomal RNA
Source: RNAcentral